UUUGAUUUUUCAAAAAAUUUAUUGUAAAUAAAAUUUAAUAAUCAAAU
This 47-nucleotide transfer RNA is filed under the name Panonychus ulmi (European red spider mite). RNAcentral describes it as "tRNA-Tyr". Lineage: Eukaryota; Metazoa; Arthropoda; Arachnida; Trombidiformes; Tetranychidae. The record is from RNAcentral.